This 1019-nucleotide ribosomal RNA is filed under the name uncultured bacterium. RNAcentral describes it as "bacterial SSU rRNA". It matches the Rfam family "Bacterial small subunit ribosomal RNA", at positions 355 to 1375 of the family's 1533-position model. The record is from RNAcentral.
UGAGGAAUAUUGGUCAAUGGGCGUAAGCCUGAACCAGCCAAGUAGCGUGAGGGAAGACUGCCCUAUGGGUUGUAAACCUCUUUUGUGCGGGGAUAAAGUGUGGGACGCGUCCCAUAUUGCAGGUACCGCACGAAUAAGGACCGGCUAAUUCCGUGCCAGCAGCCGCGGUAAUACGGAAGGUCCGGGCGUUAUCCGGAUUUAUUGGGUUUAAAGGGAGCGCAGGCCGUCCUUUAAGCGUGCUGUGAAAUGCCGCGGCUCAACCGUGGCACUGCAGCGCGAACUGGAGGACUUGAGUACGCACGAGGUAGGCGGAAUUCGUGGUGUAGCGGUGAAAUGCUUAGAUAUCACGAAGAACUCCGAUUGCGAAGGCAGCUUACCGGAGCGCAACUGACGCUGAGGCUCGAAAGCGCGGGUAUCGAACAGGAUUAGAUACCCUGGUAGUCCGCGCGGUAAACGAUGGAUGCCCGCCGUUGGGAUUUAGAUUUCAGCGGCCAAGCGAAAGCGUUAAGCAUCCCACCUGGGGAGUACGCCGGCAACGGUGAAACUCAAAGGAAUUGACGGGGGCCCGCACAAGCGGAGGAACAUGUGGUUUAAUUCGAUGAUACGCGAGGAACCUUACCCGGGCUCGAAUUGCAGGAGAACGAUCCAGAGAUGGUGAGGCCCUUCGGGGCUCCUGUGAAGGUGCUGCAUGGUUGUCGUCAGCUCGUGCCGUGAGGUGUCGGCUCAAGUGCCAUAACGAGCGCAACCCCUGUCCAUAGUUGCCAUCAGGUCGUGCUGGGCACUCUGUGGAGACUGCCGCCGUAAGGUGUGAGGAAGGUGGGGAUGACGUCAAAUCAGCACGGCCCUUACGUCCGGGGCUACACACGUGUUACAAUGGGGCAUACAGCGAGUUGGAUGUGCGCAAGUACGUCCGGAUCAAUAAAGUGCCUCUCAGUUCGGACUGGGGUCUGCAACCCGACCCCACGAAGCUGGAUUCGCUAGUAAUCGCGCAUCAGCCAUGGCGCGGUGAAUACGUUCCC